Non-coding RNA from Monodelphis domestica (gray short-tailed opossum), 1878 nucleotides. The record is from RefSeq and is a predicted model, not a curated record. NCBI's taxonomy places the organism in Eukaryota, Metazoa, Chordata, Mammalia, Didelphimorphia, Didelphidae.
CUUCAGUGAAAAGAGAUAUAGAGAGUGUUAGGUACUCUCCCUCAUCUAAAUCCUUUCUGGAAGAGCAUCCUCCAUCUGGUGCAUUCUCUGACCUUGAAGGGAGGGACUUGGAGACUGACAGUUUCAAGACACAGAAAACUCUCCAGAAAUGUGACUCCACAACAGACUCUAGACAACUUAAUAAACAAGACCAAAAGGACUAAAAGGAAUGCUAUUGAAUUUGACAUAUCAGAGAAACCAAAAUGAGUAGUGUCCCACCUCAUUUGAAGGGUCGAAUGAAGACUGAUGUAGCAAUUUAUUUGGGGGACCACGAUAAAGCAGGCAGCUAGCCCUGGCUUAAUGCCAUUUUCCGUAGGAGAAAGAGACCAAAAGGAGCCGUCUUCUGUCCACCCUUGGAGAGCUCUCAUUGCUGGAGAUGCUUCAGGACCCAAUCUGGCAGCCAGAGGUAGGACUUGGGACGGUUCCCCUUUCCGAAGCCCUCCUUUAAGGAUGAUUCCCAAAGAAGAUUCCAUGGAACUUAGUGAAGCAAGUAAAAUUCCAUCACAAUCAGUAUUUACAAAGGAUUCUGAGGAUGGCCCAUAGUCAUGCUGCUUUGUUAACCUUUCUUGGAAGAGUCAUUUCACUUCUUCACACACAUCUUCUCGUCUAUAAAAUGCUUAGAUGACCUCUAAAAUCCUUUCUAGUUAAUAUUCUGUUCAUUUUUACAAUCAGUUCUCUAGAAGGUAGUCUCGACAAUAAAUGCUUAGUUUGGUACCUGUCUGUGUAGUAAAUAAAAGUGCCUCUUUUUGUCCUGAUUGCACUGGAGAGCCAAUGGAGGGAGAAAAGCUAGGUUAAGUCCUUUUACUGUGAUUUUAACAUGUCCUCAAGCAGAUGUCCCCUCCAGUUUCCCUCUCCCCUUUCUACCUACAUUCCCUCAUGAUUUUAAAAAACCUAUUAAAAUAGCCAAAUGUGACUAAAAUGAAACAAUACCCCCAUAACAGAGGGGGGAGAGAAAUAAGGACUUAUUUCUCACAUGCCUACUAUAUGCCAAGCACUUUUUUUUUUAUAAAUACCUCAUUUAAUCCCCACAACAGUCCCAUUUUACAGUUGAGAUAACUGAGGUAGAGAAGACUCAAACUUGAUUUGAAUUGUAGUCAUCCUGACUCCAAGUUCUGUGUUCUAUCCACUGCACCACCAGCUUCCUUAGGAGCUAGGGGGACACUUGACUUGUUAUACCACCUACAUACUUAGCUCUUUGGAAUUGAAGUUUUUUUUGGGGGGGGGGGGUUUCUUCUGCUAAUUCUCUUAAGGAAGGGUUUAGCUAUAGUUCAACCUAUGGCUUUAGAUUUUGCAAAUGUAAUUUCAAAUCAGGAAAUAUGUCUCUAAUGUAUACCCAUACUUGCUUAUCAAAUGGUAGGGUUAAGUAGUUGGAACCUUUCAUAAUUAUAGAAUUAACAACAUAAUUUGUAGGUUUUGUUAUUUUUUUAAAACCCUUACCUUCUGUCUUAGAAUCAAUACUGUGUAUUGGUUCAAAGGCAGAAGAGUGGUAAGGGCUAGGCAAUGGGGGUUAAGUGACUUGCCCACAGUCACACAGAUAGGAAGUGCCUGAGGUGAAAUUUGAACCUAGGAUGUCUCCAGGCCUGAUUCUCAAUCCCCUGAGCUACCCAGCUGCCCCCUUGUUAUUUUCUUAAACUAGAUUUUACUGGUACCAAGAAUGUCCAUAAUGCUUUGUUUCCUAGACUUCUUCAGUGGCUGGUUUAUUCUCUAAAGCAUCUGUUUUUUACCAACAAACAAUAAAUUGUUUUUGGAUAGCAUUUGUUUCUAGACCAUCCAUUUCUCCUUGACCACUUCCUCCAAGGUGAAUCCUAUCUUGUAAUAAAGAAAAACACUUAACAAAUA